GGAUCUUGAAUCAGCAUUUGACUCCUUAUGCAAUGAAAAGCACGAACUUGAGGAGAAACUUAAGAGUCAGAUGGAUGAGACUAGUCAAUUCAGGGAGGAAAAGUUUGAGCUGGAGAAGAAAUUUUUUGAAUUAGAAAGUACCUUGACAGAUAAAGGAGUUGAGCUUUCUACUCUCCAUGAGAAACACAGAAAUGGAGAGGCUGAA
RNAcentral lists this unclassified non-coding RNA (205 nucleotides) under Hevea brasiliensis (rubber tree). Lineage: Eukaryota; Viridiplantae; Streptophyta; Magnoliopsida; Malpighiales; Euphorbiaceae. The record is from RNAcentral.